UCCGGUUUGUCACCGGCAGUCUCAUUAGAGUGCCCUUUCGUAGCAACUAAUGACAAGGGUUGCGCUCGUUGCGGGACUUAACCCAACAUCUCACGACACGAGCUGACGACAGCCAUGCAGCACCUGUGUUCAGGUUCCCUUUCGGGCACCGCCACAUCUCUGCGGCGUUCCUGACAUGUCAAGGGUAGGUAAGGUUUUUCGCGUUGCAUCGAAUUAAUCCACAUAAUCCACCGCUUGUGCGGGUCCCCGUCAAUUCCUUUGAGUUUUAACCUUGCGGCCGUACUCCCCAGGCGGUCAACUUCACGCGUUAGCUUCGUUACCAAAGGAGUUAAUCCUCCGACAACCAGUUGACAUAGUUUGGGGCGUGGACUAC
RNAcentral lists this unclassified non-coding RNA (373 nucleotides) under uncultured Gammaproteobacteria bacterium. Its description in RNAcentral is "contains 16S-23S intergenic spacer region". The record is from RNAcentral. Lineage: Bacteria; Pseudomonadati; Pseudomonadota; Gammaproteobacteria.